GUGCUUGCUUUGGCAGUACAUAUACUAAAAUUGGAACGAUACAGAGAAGAUUAGCAUGACCCCAAGCUGCAUGUCAUGCAGUUUGCAUGACAUGCAAAUUCAUGAGGCAUUCCAUAUUUUU
RNAcentral lists this small nuclear RNA (121 nucleotides) under Canis lupus familiaris (dog). RNAcentral also lists the same sequence under 1 other name. The record is from RNAcentral. Lineage: Eukaryota; Metazoa; Chordata; Mammalia; Carnivora; Canidae.